CUGCAUGGCUGUCGUUCAGCUCGUGUCGUGAGAUGUUGGUUAAGUCCCGCAACGAGCGCAACCCUUAUCAUUAGUUGCUACGCAAGGGCACUCUAAUGAGACUGCCGGUGACAAACCGGAGGAAGGUGGGGAUGACGUCAAGUCCUCAUGGCCCUUAUGGGUAGGGCUUCACACGUCAUACAAUGGUCGGUACAGAGGGUUGCCAAGCCGCGAGGUGGAGCCAAUCCCAGAAAGCCGAUCGUAGUCCGGAUUGUUCUCUGCAACUCGAGAGCAUGAAGUCGGAAUCGCUAGUAAUCGCGGAUCAGCAUGUCGCGGUGAAUACGUUCCCGGGUCUU
Molecule: ribosomal RNA, 335 nt
Filed under: uncultured Thiobacillus sp.
Lineage: Bacteria; Pseudomonadati; Pseudomonadota; Betaproteobacteria; Nitrosomonadales; Thiobacillaceae
Description: bacterial SSU rRNA
Rfam family: Bacterial small subunit ribosomal RNA
Source: RNAcentral